Molecule: ribosomal RNA, 253 nt
Filed under: uncultured bacterium
Lineage: Bacteria
Description: partial 16S ribosomal RNA
Rfam family: Bacterial small subunit ribosomal RNA
Source: RNAcentral
UACGUAGGGGGCAAGCGUUGUCCGGAAUUAUUGGGCGUAAAGCGCGCGCAGGCGGUUCCUUAAGUCUGAUGUGAAAGCCCACGGCUUAACCGUGGAGGGUCAUUGGAAACUGGGGAACUUGAGUACAGAAGAGGAGAGUGGAAUUCCACGUGUAGCGGUGAAAUGCGUAGAUAUGUGGAGGAACACCAGUGGCGAAGGCGACUCUCUGGUCUGUAACUGACGCUGAGGCGCGAAAGCGUGGGGAGCGAACAGG